Molecule: ribosomal RNA, 433 nt
Filed under: uncultured bacterium
Lineage: Bacteria
Description: partial 16S ribosomal RNA
Rfam family: Bacterial small subunit ribosomal RNA
Source: RNAcentral
AACGAACGCUGGCGGCAUGCCUAACACAUGCAAGUCGAACGAAGGCUUCGGCCUUAGUGGCGCACGGGUGCGUAACGCGUGGGAAUCUGCCCUUUGGUUCGGAAUAACAGCUGGAAACGGCUGCUAAUACCGGAUGAUGACGAAAGUCCAAAGAUUUAUCGCCAGAGGAUGAGCCCGCGUUGGAUUAGGUAGUUGGUGGGGUAAAGGCCUACCAAGCCGACGAUCCAUAGCUGGUCUGAGAGGAUGAUCAGCCACACUGGGACUGAGACACGGCCCAGACUCCUACGGGAGGCAGCAGCGGGGAAUAUUGGACAAUGGGCGCAAGCCUGAUCCAGCAAUGCCGCGUGAGUGAUGAAGGCCCUAGGGUUGUAAAGCUCUUUUACCCGGGAAGAUAAUGACUGUACCGGGAGAAUAAGCCCCGGCUAACUCCGUG